CUGGCUCAGGAUGAACGCUGGCGGCGUGCCUAACACAUGCAAGUCGAACGGGGUUAUGACGCUGAGGAGACUUCGGUCAAAUCUUGUUGUAACUUAGUGGCGGACGGGUGAGUAACGCGUGGAUAACCUGCCAUACACAGGGGGAUAACAGUUAGAAAUGACUGCUAAUACCGCAUAAGCGCCCGAGGGGGCAUCCUCUCGAGUGAAAAGCGAAUACGGGUGUAUGAUGGGUCCGCGUCCGAUUAGCCAGUUGGCGGGGUAAGAGCCCACCAAAGCGACGAUCGGUAGCCGGCCUGAGAGGGUGAACGGCCACAUUGGGACUGAGAGACGGCCCAAACUCCUACGGGAGGCAGCAGUGGGGGAUAUUGCACAAUGGGGGGAACCCUGAUGCAGCGACGCCGCGUGAGUGAAGAAGUUAUUCGUAAUGUAAAGCUCUAUCAGCAGGGAAGAAGCAGACGGUACCUGACUAAGAAGCACCGGCUAAAUACGUGCCAGCCGCAGC
RNAcentral lists this ribosomal RNA (502 nucleotides) under uncultured bacterium. RNAcentral's name for it is "bacterial SSU rRNA". It matches the Rfam family "Bacterial small subunit ribosomal RNA", at positions 19 to 518 of the family's 1533-position model. The record is from RNAcentral.